This 177-nucleotide non-coding RNA is filed under the name Geobacter sp. DSM 9736. RNAcentral describes it as "6S / SsrS RNA". It matches the Rfam family "6S / SsrS RNA". From Rfam's summary of the family: E. coli 6S RNA was the first non coding RNA to be sequenced, but its function was unknown until recently. It consists of 184 nucleotides that fold into an extended hairpin structure with a large single-stranded internal bulge. The 6S RNA specifically associates with RNA polymerase holoenzyme containing the sigma70 specificity factor. Lineage: Bacteria; Pseudomonadati; Thermodesulfobacteriota; Desulfuromonadia; Geobacterales; Geobacteraceae. The record is from Rfam by way of RNAcentral.
UUCUCUCUGCUCUGUGCGUGAGGUUGUAAAACCCCUGCGGAAUGUUAAUCGAACGGGAACUUUUCAGGUCGUGGUGUGCUGCCCCUCUGCGGGAAUUGCCUGAAGCGACACAUAAGUGGCCCACCUUUACAGUUACUCGCUGUGAGGUCCCUAGACCAACGGCAAAGUGGAGAGCUU